UACGUAGGGUGCAAGCGUUGUCCGGAUUUAUUGGGCGUAAAGAGCUCGUAGGCGGUCUGUCGCGUCGGAUGUGAAAACCCAGGGCUCAACCCUGGGCCUGCAUUCGAUACGGGCAGACUAGAGUAUGGCAGGGGAGACUGGAAUUCCUGGUGUAGCGGUGAAAUGCGCAGAUAUCAGGAGGAACACCAGUGGCGAAGGCGACUACCUGGCCUGUUCUUGACGCUGAGGCGCGAAAGCUAGGGGAGCAAACGGG
This 253-nucleotide ribosomal RNA is filed under the name uncultured bacterium. RNAcentral describes it as "partial 16S ribosomal RNA". It matches the Rfam family "Bacterial small subunit ribosomal RNA", at positions 524 to 776 of the family's 1533-position model. The record is from RNAcentral.